CGAACCUCUUGUGCACCGGUUGUCGCGCCAGCGGCAUGGCCGGGUAGCGAUGUUCGAAAGGAUAACCGCUGAAAGCAUAUAAGCGGGAAGCCUUCCUCAAGAUGAGAUUUCCCGGGGGUAACCCCCUGAAGGCCCGUGGGAGACGACCACGUUGAUAGGCUGGGUGUGGACGCGCUGCAAGGCGUGAAGCUGACCAGUACUAAUCGGCCGUGAGGCUUGACCAU
This 224-nucleotide ribosomal RNA is filed under the name Acidobacteriota bacterium. Its description in RNAcentral is "partial 23S ribosomal RNA". It matches the Rfam family "Bacterial large subunit ribosomal RNA", at positions 2702 to 2925 of the family's 2925-position model. The record is from RNAcentral. Lineage: Bacteria; Pseudomonadati; Acidobacteriota.